UCCCUCCCCCGGAAGUAGGGCCUGAUGUAAACACCCGAGCCGGGCUCCAAGGCCCGGGAGGUCAGAAAACCGGGCCGCGGGCGGCACCGACAGCUGGGGCCCGGGUCAGGGACACGCGGAGGUCAGGCCGGUGAAGGCGGCAGGAAGCUGGAGCACGACCCCAGGGGGAACAAUCCUGCACCAUGACUCAACAGCCACUUCGAGGAGUGACCAGCCUGCGUUUCAACCAAGACCAAAGCUGCUUUUGCUGCGCCAUGGAGACAGGUGUGCGCAUCUACAACGUGGAGCCCUUGAUGGAGAAGGGGCAUCUGGGUGAGCUGUUGGCAGGGGAGGGGCAAUGGGCAGAAGAGCUGGGCUGGGCAUUGGCUCCCACCUCCACUGACACCCUGGUCCCUGUCCAGACCACGAGCAGGUGGGCAGCAUGGGCUUGGUGGAGAUGCUGCACCGCUCCAACCUUCUGGCCUUGGUGGGCGGUGGUAGUAGUCCCAAGUUCUCAGAGAUCUCAGGUAAGUGCCCUCAUCCUGCCCUUUGGCCCAGAUUUCUCGGAUUCCUGGCCUCCCACAGGCACCCCAAGGUACUGGCAGAUGAAGACGUCAGAGUACUUCAGAGUCACACAGAGAGGAGGCCUACAGCUUGGAAGUCAUGGAUCUUAUAGCUUGAGAAGCUUGGUGCUUUGUUUUCAUUUUAAAAAUGCUGAUUGAGUGCCUCCUGUGUGCCAUGCCCUAGAGCACUUACUGUGAGCCUGGGACUGCCCUAAGCACUUUACGUUUAUUAACUCAUUUAAUCCUCACAGUAACUCUAUGGGGUAGGAAGGAUCAUUAUCCCCAUCUUUACCGAUGAGGAAACUGAGGCCCAGUGCAGUUAAGUGACUCAUCCAAGGUCACACAAGCAAUAGGUUUUAAAAUCUUGGAGCCGUCUUCCCAAUACCCCCUUGGCUUGAGCCUCAAGUGCCAUCUUACUUUAAGGGUUUUUCUUGAUGAUCCCAUCUGAACAAGGCAGGAGUUGCCCUAGGUGAGUCACAGAGCCCUAGGAUUCCUCACGGAAAUCUCCAGGGUGCGUGGACUAGGACCCUGGAGGCAGAAAUAGUUACCAAGGGGAAGUUACAGGCCUGAGUGUGAGUCCCUGUUUGGUUGCUGAUGGGCUCUGAGGUCCUUGGCCA
RNAcentral lists this small RNA (1159 nucleotides) under Pongo abelii (Sumatran orangutan). RNAcentral describes it as "retained intron". The record is from RNAcentral. Lineage: Eukaryota; Metazoa; Chordata; Mammalia; Primates; Hominidae.